UUGCCCCAGUAACGGCGAGUGAAGCGGCAACAGCUCAAAUUUGAAAUCUGGCCCCAGGCCCGAGUUGUAAUUUGCAGAGGAUGCUUUUGGCGCGGUGCCUUCCGAGUUCCCUGGAACGGGACGCCAUAGAGGGUGAGAGCCCCGUACGGUUGGACACCAAGCCUUUGUAAAGCUCCUUCGACGAGUCGAGUAGUUUGGGAAUGCUGCUCUAAAUGGGAGGUACAUUUCUUCUAAAGCUAAAUAUUGGCCAGAGACCGAUAGCGCACAAGUAGAGUGAUCGAAAGAUGAAAAGCACUUUGAAAAGAGGGUUAAACAGCACGUGAAAUUGUUAAAAGGGAAGCGCUUGUGACCAGACUUGCGUCCGGUGAAUCACCCAGCUCUCGCGGCUGGGGCACUUCGCCGGCACAGGCCAGCAUCAGCUUGCCGUCGGGGACAAAAGCUUCAGGAACGUGGCUCCUCUCGGGGAGUGUUAUAGCCUGUUGCACAAUACCCUUCGGCGGGCUGAGGUACGCGCUCCGCAAGGAUGCUGGCGUAAUGGUCAUCAGCGACCCG
Molecule: ribosomal RNA, 552 nt
Filed under: Colletotrichum acutatum
Lineage: Eukaryota; Fungi; Ascomycota; Sordariomycetes; Glomerellales; Glomerellaceae
Description: eukaryotic LSU rRNA
Rfam family: Eukaryotic large subunit ribosomal RNA
Source: RNAcentral